Molecule: ribosomal RNA, 251 nt
Filed under: uncultured archaeon
Lineage: Archaea
Description: partial 16S ribosomal RNA
Rfam family: Archaeal small subunit ribosomal RNA
Source: RNAcentral
GCAGCAGGCGCGAAAACUUUACAAUGCGGGAAACCGUGAUAAGGGGACACCGAGUGCCAGCAUCAUAUGCUGGCUGUCCAGGUGUGUAAAAUACACCUGUUAGCAAGGGCCGGGCAAGACCGGUGCCAGCCGCCGCGGUAACACCGGCGGCCCGAGUGGUGAUCGUGAUUAUUGGGUCUAAAGGGUCCGUAGCCGGUUUGGUCAGUCCUCCGGGAAAUCUGACGGCUUAACCGUUAGGCUUUCGGGGGAUA